This 200-nucleotide ribosomal RNA is filed under the name uncultured bacterium. RNAcentral describes it as "partial 16S ribosomal RNA". It matches the Rfam family "Bacterial small subunit ribosomal RNA", at positions 28 to 231 of the family's 1533-position model. The record is from RNAcentral.
GACGAACGCUUGCGGCGUGCCUAAGAAAUGCAAGUCGAACGGAAUCAGUAGCAAUACUGGUUUAGUGGCGAACGGUCGCGUAACACGUAAGCAACCUGCCUUGAAGUUGGGGAUAACAGUCCGAAAGGACUGCUAAUACCGGAUGUGGUCCACGAGUGGCAUCAUUUGUGGUCUAAAGAUUUAUCGCUUCAAGAUGGGCU